This 430-nucleotide ribosomal RNA is filed under the name uncultured bacterium. RNAcentral's name for it is "bacterial SSU rRNA". It matches the Rfam family "Bacterial small subunit ribosomal RNA", at positions 29 to 506 of the family's 1533-position model. The record is from RNAcentral.
GUGAACGCUAGCGGUGCGCCUAACACAUGCAAGUCGAGUGGGUUCAGACCCACGGCGAACGGCUGAGUAACACGUUGGUACCUGCCCCGAACUCAGGGAUAACCCGCCGAAAGGCGGGCUAAUACCGGAUGGUCCCGCAAGGGUAAAGCUUUUGCGGUUCGGGAGGGGCCUGCGGCCUAUCAGAUAGUUGGUGAGGUAAUGGCUUACCAAGUCUAUGACGGGUAGCUGGUCUGAGAGGACGACCAGCCAGAAUGGAACUGAGACACGGUCCAUACUCCUACGGGAGGCAGCAGUGAGGAAUCUUCCGCAAUGGGCGAAAGCCUGACGGAGCGACACCGCGUGAAGGAUGACACCCUUUUGGGCGUAAACUUCUGUUCUGAGGGACGAAAUUUUUGACGGUACCUCAGGAGAAAGCACCGGCUAAUUCUGU